GAGUUUGAUCAUGGCUCAGAUUGAACGCUGGCGGCAUGCCUUACACAUGCAAGUCGAACGGCAGCACGGGAGCUUGCUCCUGGGUGGCGAGUGGCGAACGGGUGAGUAAUGCAUCGGAACGUAUCCUGGAGUGGGGGAUAACGUAGCGAAAGUUACGCUAAUACCGCAUAUUCUGUGGGCAGGAAAGCGGGGGACCUUCGGGCCUCGCGCUCUUGGAGCGGCCGAUGUCGGAUUAGCUAGUUGGUGAGGUAAAGGCUCACCAAGGCGACGAUCCGUAGCAGGUCUGAGAGGAUGAUCUGCCACACUGGAACUGAGACACGGUCCAGACUCCUACGGGAGGCAGCAGUGGGGAAUUUUGGACAAUGGGGGCAACCCUGAUCCAGCCAUGCCGCGUGAGUGAAGAAGGCC
This 408-nucleotide ribosomal RNA is filed under the name bacterium enrichment culture clone ALO1_GLFRUDD03HA2J2. RNAcentral's name for it is "bacterial SSU rRNA". It matches the Rfam family "Bacterial small subunit ribosomal RNA", at positions 9 to 416 of the family's 1533-position model. The record is from RNAcentral.